Molecule: RNA transcript, 1734 nt
Organism: Brassica napus (rape)
Lineage: Eukaryota; Viridiplantae; Streptophyta; Magnoliopsida; Brassicales; Brassicaceae
Gene name: aldehyde dehydrogenase family 2 member B4, mitochondrial-like
Exons: 13
Source: RefSeq, a predicted model, not a curated record
CCUAUACUAAAAGGGAUAUAUAAUCAUCAGAGAAGGUGUCCACGUCAGCCAAUUAAAUCGACCAAUGAGAGAGUUUCAAUAUGACAGGUCACGUAAGCUUCUUCGACUUUAACGUGUAAUCAACUCCGGCGCUUCCACUCCUUGCAAAUUACUGUUUUUUUUCUUUGAAUUAAUCACGAUCCAAUCCUUCUCUCCAUUGCUCACUAUUUCUCCGAAUCCUUGAACCACCGCAAUGAUGGUCCUAAAACGCUCCAAAUCGUCGAUCUCUGACGGUUUACUUCUACAAAGUCGCCGCCGGUCAAGUCGAUUCAGUUUUGAGAAGCCCAUAAUCUCGCUAAAGUAGGGGUGCUAAAGUAGGGGUGCUAAUUUCGCCUUCAGCUGCUUCUGAUUGACAAAUAGUUUUUCUGGGAAUCCACACAUUGCUUUUGAACCAGUCAAUCGAAAUCGAAAUGGGUGUUUCAGAAAUGCAUUCGUAGAGUUUUAUUUUGUGCCAGACCUUUCAAGGUCUCUAAUGCCAUAACUCUUUGAGGGUUUCUGCAUCGACUAUAACAAGAGUUUGAUAAACAGGUUCUUGAUGGGACUAACUGAACUCCUUCUUGAACCAUCUCUUACAUUCAUGAUUCUGACACUAUUUAUGAACCUCAUAACAUCUGACGAAGGGACAAUAUAACUCGCAAUUUAAGUUAUAUGCUGGAGAUUGUUGACCAACACAAACCAAGAAUUUCGCUGCAGUGGCAUGUGUUGCAUAAGAAUUUUGGAAGAGUUCCACGGAUAUAUUGAAAGAACUAAGGCCAAUCAAAGAAUCUGGCUCAGCCGAAGAUUUUGAGAAAGAGGCGCUGAUUCAGCGGUUUCGAGGCUGCUCAAGCUCAGGAAAAAAUUAUAACAAUGAAAGUAAGAUCGUACGGAGAUUUAGAACUUCCCCUGCAGCUGAAGAAAUCAUAAGCCAGUUCACUUUUUUACACACAGCUCCUCAACAAUGGGAACUUUGUAGACGCUGCUUCUGGUAAGACGCUGCCUACUCUUGAUCCACGCAUAGAGGGAGUUAUUGCGAACAUAGCUGAAAGUCGAUGCUGAAGAUAUAGACUGGGCGGUGAAAGCCACAAGCCUGCAAGGAAGGCCAUCGAUGAAGGACCAUGGCAAAAGAUAAUUGCUUAUUUUUCAGGAACAGCGAAAAGCUUGCAGCUAUAAGACAUGGGACGAUGGGAAGACUUAUGAACAAGCCAAAACAGCAGAGAUUCCAAUGCUCGCCAGAUUCUUUCGCUAUUAUGCUGGAUGGGCAGAUAAGAUUCGUGGGCUAACUAUUUCAGCCGAUGGAAACAAUCAUGUCCAGACACUGCAUGAACCAAUAGGCAUUGCUGGUCAGAACAUUCCAUGGAACUUUCCACUUCUGAUGUUUCCUUGGAAAGUUGUUCCUACUCUUGCUUGUGGUAACACCAUUGUCCUCAAAAAGCUGAACAAACUCAUUGCACUGCUUUUUACGUCUGCAAGCUUUUUUUUGAAGCAUGUCUUUCUCCAACAACACCUCCUGUUCUGUGGGUUGUAGUGAGGUGGAACCAUCCAUAAAGCUACUGUUGCAUGCCUACUAUUGGACUGGCAUCUUAUAAGCUCAAAGUAUCUGUGUGGAACCAAAACAGAGCUCAAGAGUGCCACAAGCUCUCUUCUUUGCAACAAGCUGUAAAUAAAUGGCUUGAGCGUCUGCAAGUCGACCAGCCGGACUACAAUUUCUACAUCUGC